This 223-nucleotide ribosomal RNA is filed under the name uncultured bacterium. RNAcentral's name for it is "partial 16S ribosomal RNA". It matches the Rfam family "Bacterial small subunit ribosomal RNA", at positions 15 to 229 of the family's 1533-position model. The record is from RNAcentral.
GAUCCUGGCUCAGGAUGAACGCUAGCGGCAGGCCUAAUACAUGCAAGUCGGACGGGAUCCAUCGGAGAGCUUGCUCGAAGAUGGUGAGAGUGGCGCACGGGUGCGUAACGCGUGAGCAACCUACCUCUAUCAGGGGGAUAGCCUCUCGAAAGAGAGAUUAACACCGCAUAAUAUCAACAGUUCGCAUGUUCGGUUGAUUAAAUAUUUAUAGGAUAGAGAUGGG